CCUACGGGAGGCAGCAGUGAGGAAUAUUGGUCAAUGGACGAGAGUCUGAUCCAGCGAAGUAGCGUGGAUGAUGACUGCCCUAUGGGUUGUAAACUUCUUUUGUAGGGGAAUCAAACGAGGCUAGUGUACUUUUUUGCAUGUACUUUAUGAAUAAGGGUAGGCUAGGUACGUGCCAGCGGCCGCGGUAAUACGGAGGAUACGGGCGUUAUCCGGGUUUAUUGGGGUUACAGGGAGCGGAGAUGGGUUGGUAAGUCAGUUGUGAAAGUUUGCGGCUCAACCUCGAAACUGCAAUUGAUACUGGUAUGCUUGAGUACAGUAGAGGUAGGCGGAAUUCGUGGUGUAGCGGUGAAAUGCUUAGAUAUCACGAAGAACCCCGAUUGCGAAGGCAGCCUGCUAGACUGUGACUGACGUUGAUGCUCGAAAGCGUGGGUAGCAAACAGGAUUAGAUACCCUUGUAGUC
RNAcentral lists this ribosomal RNA (460 nucleotides) under uncultured bacterium. Its description in RNAcentral is "partial 16S ribosomal RNA". It matches the Rfam family "Bacterial small subunit ribosomal RNA", at positions 338 to 795 of the family's 1533-position model. The record is from RNAcentral.